Long non-coding RNA from Dreissena polymorpha, 1265 nucleotides. RefSeq lists it as uncharacterized. The transcript has 6 exons. Lineage: Eukaryota; Metazoa; Mollusca; Bivalvia; Myida; Dreissenidae. The record is from RefSeq and is a predicted model, not a curated record.
GCUGACACUUAAGUAAGCAAGGUUACUGUAAACAUUUCCGACCAGACCGACUAUGUUGUUAUUCGUAGUAAUUGCGUGUUUGGUUGGCUGUAAUACAGGAAGGACAUUCACGAACUACCCAAACGAUUGGAUAGCCCACGAUGGGUCGUGCUACCUGUUUGGUCACGAGGACAACUAACUUGAUUUCACAACCGCCGAGCAAUUCUGUCGCCAGCGCGGAGGUCAUCUGAUUCACGUGGAUGACGCGCAAGAAAACGCCUUCAUAAAGGACCAGCUGAAUGAACGCAAACCUAUUCAUUGGUGGCUGGGCAUUACUGACGGGGAUGCGAAAUGGGUCUGGAGAUGGUUUGACGAUGACACUGUGGCUGAAUAUACAGACUUUGAGUCGAAUGACCAUUUCCACCCAGGUGAAGACUGUGGGUUGUUUGCAUCAAUCUAUGAGUUCAGAUGGGCUGACAUUGAAUGUACAGCUCACUACCCCCCUCUUUGCGAACUAAGUGCACGCAACACUGAGGUCGAGACUGUUGGCUAAUAUCGAUGAGAUGACAUCUUGACACUUUCUUACUUCUUUUGUGUACAAGGACGAAUAUGUGUAAUUAAUGUACCAAUGAAUAUUAAUAUUAGACAUGACGUACUUGGUAAGAUAAAAGGCUUCAGCUUAGUUGGAUAUUUUUUAAUAUAAAAAAGAAUAGCGACAUAAAGUCAAAGGCGUUUGAUAAUAAUAAGGUGGGCCUAACUGAAAGACACACUUGAUAAUAAAGACAGGUGAUUCCAUGCAGGAUCUAAUGAUGCAAUACAUACUAGGACGCCAAUAGAUGGGUUCCCAGGUAUGAUUGCCAAUCGUGUAUCGUGUAUUGUCCCACACAUGUUGAAGCGCGUAGACACUUUAUACACACAUCAGAUGAGAUUUGGUGAAGAAAAUCAUGUAAACUAUACGCACAUGUUGAAAUCUAUUAAAACAACAGUCAUAUCGGACAUGCUCAUAUUGAGGCAUUACCACUGGCUGUUCUUAGGUGGUAAUCCAGCUUUUAUCAUUUAAUGUAUAUUGGUGUGUUUUGUUUAUAGUCAUGUAUUAAUAUAUAUGCAAAAUUGAGAAAAAUGCCUGAACAGUAUUAUAGAGUUUCACUGUGUAUUCAAUAUGUAUUUAUUUCAAAAUUUAAACCUGUCAUGAACUUAGAUUAAAAUCGUCUAAUUUCAUACAUUGUACCCACCCCCAGCGUUCUCUAGGGAUGUGAAUAAACUAUGAACGAGGUAGCCGUAGUGUA